This is a non-coding RNA of Podarcis lilfordi (Lilford's wall lizard), 73 nucleotides long. The record is from the annotation of a GenBank genome assembly. Lineage: Eukaryota; Metazoa; Chordata; Lepidosauria; Squamata; Lacertidae.
UGGGCAAGAGCUCAGUGGUACAGCAUCUGCUUUGGAUGCAGAAGGCCCCUGGUUCAAUGCCCUGCUUCUCCAG